UCAUAUGCUUGUCUCAAAGAUUAAGCCAUGCAUGUCUAAGUAUAAGCAAUUAUACCGUGAAACUGCGAAUGGCUCAUUAAAUCAGUUAUCGUUUAUUUGAUAGUACCUUACUACUUGGACAACCGUGGUAAUUCUAGAGCUAAUACAUGCUGAAAACCUCAACUUCGGAAGAGGUGUGUUUAUUAGAUAAAAAACCAACGCCCCUCGGGGCUCCUUGGUGAUUCAUGAUAACUUUACGGAUCGCAUGGCCUUGCGCCGGCGACGGUUCAUUCAAAUUUCUGCCCUAUCAACUUUCGAUGGUAAGGUAUUGGCUUACCAUGGUUUCAACGGGUAACGGGGAAUUAGGGUUCGAUUCCGGAGAGGGAGCCUGAGAAACGGCUACCACAUCCAAGGAAGGCAGCAGGCGCGCAAAUUACCCAAUCCCGACACGGGGAGGUAGUGACAAUAAAUACUGAUACAGGGCUCUUUUGGGUCUUGUAAUUGGAAUGAGUACAAUUUAAACCUCUUAACGAGGAACAAUUGGAGGGCAAGUCUGGUGCCAGCAGCCGCGGUAAUUCCAGCUCCAAUAGCGUAUAUUAAAGUUGUUGCAGUUAAAAAGCUCGUAGUUGAAACUUGGGUCUGGCUGGCAGGUCCGCCUCACCGCGUGUACUUGUCCGGCCGGGCCUUCCUUCUGGAGAACCUCAUGCCCUUUACUGGGCGUGUUGGGGACCAGGACUUUUACUUUGAAAAAAUUAGAGUGUUCAAAGCAGGCCUUUGCUCGAAUACGUUAGCAUGGAAUAAUAGAAUAGGAUGUGUGGUCCUAUUUUGUUGGUUUCUAGGACCGCCGUAAUGAUUAAUAGGGACAGUCGGGGGCAUCAGUAUUCAAUUGUCAGAGGUGAAAUUCUUGGAUUUAUUGAAGACUAACUACUGCGAAAGCAUUUGCCAAGGAUGUUUUCAUUAAUCAGUGAACGAAAGUUAGGGGAUCGAAGACGAUCAGAUACCGUCGUAGUCUUAACCGUAAACUAUGCCGACUAGGGAUCGGGCGAUGUUCUUUUUCUGACUCGCUCGGCACCUUACGAGAAAUCAAAGUUU
This 1071-nucleotide ribosomal RNA is filed under the name Ampelomyces quisqualis. RNAcentral's name for it is "SSU rRNA". It matches the Rfam family "Eukaryotic small subunit ribosomal RNA", at positions 24 to 1106 of the family's 1831-position model. Lineage: Eukaryota; Fungi; Ascomycota; Dothideomycetes; Pleosporales; Phaeosphaeriaceae. The record is from RNAcentral.